GAUCCUGGCUCAGGAUGAACGCUAGCGACAGGCUUAACACAUGCAAGUCGAGGGGCAGCAUGAGGUAGCAAUACCUUGAUGGCGACCGGCGCACGGGUGAGUAACGCGUAUGCAACCUGCCCGAUACCGGGGUAUAGCCCAUGGAAACGUGGAUUAACACCCCAUAGUACUUUUAUCCUGCAUGGGAUGUGAGUUAAAUGUUCAAGGUAUCGGAUGGGCAUGCGUUCCAUUAG
Molecule: ribosomal RNA, 233 nt
Filed under: uncultured bacterium
Lineage: Bacteria
Description: partial 16S ribosomal RNA
Rfam family: Bacterial small subunit ribosomal RNA
Source: RNAcentral